Long non-coding RNA from Vespula vulgaris, 1161 nucleotides. RefSeq lists it as uncharacterized. Lineage: Eukaryota; Metazoa; Arthropoda; Insecta; Hymenoptera; Vespidae. The record is from RefSeq and is a predicted model, not a curated record. The transcript has 2 exons.
UCUCUCUCUCUCUUUCGUUCUCUUUCUCUUUCUCCAUUUCUGACUCUUUCUGACUACGUUUCUUUAUCUCUCUUUAUCUCAAUCUCUCUUUCUCUCUCUCUCUCUCUUGUUCUCUGUUUCUCUUUAUAUCUUUCUCACUCCCUUCUUCAGCUUGGAACUAACACGGUUGUGCUUUAAAAACCACCAACUGUGUAUAUUCCACGGUCUUUCCACACUCUCUUCAGUCUGCCUGACGGCAUUAUCGCGUUACCUUUGCCACGUGAUUCACACGGUGUGCGCACUCCACUCGAAGCAAAGAAUCAUGCCUGGAGCCACGGACUAUUUCACGUUCCAUCGGAUCUCAUUCGUUUAUGAUUCGUUAGUCACGAUAAAUAGAGGAAAACUCUAAGUAGGAAGAGGGAAGCUAUGAAGUAGGGUAAUGAUCAAGCUCGAGAAAAAAAAAAGAGAGAGAGAAAAAAAACAAGAAAAGAAAGAAUAAAGAGAAACAUAAUGAGAAGAGAAAAAUCUCGUCGAUGAGUAUUGAAGAAGAAAGAAAAAAGAAAAAAGAAAUAAAAAGAAAUGGAAGAUCGAACCAAAUCUUUCUCUCUCACUCUUUCUCUCACUAUAUCUAUUUAUCUAUCUCUCUUUAUCUCUUUUUUCUUUCUGGAGUACGAACUUUCGGAGCGGAUACAGCUGAAGCUCGAUAUUAUUAAAACAAAAUAAGAAAAAAAAACAGAGAGAGAGAGAGAGAGAGAGAGAGAAGUUUCAAUAAGUACGAUAAAAUUCAUCGUUAAAAGGUUAACGAUCCUCGAGAUGCGAGCAUUAAUUAGUGAACAUACUUUACUCUACUUUUCAACUAAAAGAAGAAAGAAAGAGAGAAAGAGAUAAAGAAAGAAAGAAGGAAAGAAAGAAAAAGAGAAAUGAAGAAAUGAAGAAAGGAAGGAAGGAAGGAAGGAAGUGCUUAGAAAAAUAAUAAACUAUUAACUAAUUGAUAAUACCAAAGUAGACGUAAAAGAUACUCGAAAGAGAAGAACAGAAAAGAAAAGAAAAAGAGAAAGAAUGAAAGAAUGAAAGAAAUAAAAGGCAAACAAACAAACAAACAAACAAACAAACAAACAAACAAAAUAAGUUGCUCGUUGAAAUGAGAAGGAAAAGAAGAAGAAGAAGAAGAAGAAGGUAAGG